Molecule: long non-coding RNA, 1784 nt
Filed under: Arabidopsis thaliana (thale cress)
Lineage: Eukaryota; Viridiplantae; Streptophyta; Magnoliopsida; Brassicales; Brassicaceae
Description: ncRNA (AT2G24755)
Source: RNAcentral
AGAAAAUAAAGCUUCUUUUGCAAUCUCAUCUGCUCUUCGAUUUUUAUCUCUAGGAACAAAACAGAAUCUGAUAAAAUCAAAAGUUAAAGAUAGGGAGAGGAUGUCGUGGAGAAUCCCGUAGAGCUCCUUCGAUUGAAGCUCCAAAUUUAGUGCUUUGAUCAGCUGUUGCGAAUCUGAAGCAAGCGAAAGUUUUUUGUAACCAAGAUCUCUGGCUUGAUGGAUCGCGUGAAGCAUCGCCAGCGCCUCUGCCAUUAACGGAGAUCGAACGUUGGAAGCAGAAGAUCUACCAUGGCGCUCUGUGUUACAGAGGAAAUCAGAGAAGUGCCAACCAAAUCCCGCCUCUUUUGUCUCAGCUUUCCAAGCGGCGUCUGUGAACCCUCGGAUUGUAUCUAAUCCAAUCUCUUCGAUCUGGUACGGGAGUCGUAAUUGAGGAGAUUGGGGUGAUACAAGUUGAGAAGCACACCAUUCCCGAGCUUGGGAAACAGCCUGAGCCACCGCUUCGAAGUUUGUAAUUUGUCUCUUCUCAAAGAUGCGCUUAUUUCGGGAGAUCCAAAUCGUCCAUAGUAUCCAUGGCAAAAGGGGGACGUCUCCGAGUCCUGUAGGAGGCAAAUUGGUCAGGAGCUUCGAAGUUUCUAGACCUUUCCUCAGCGACGUGAUUUGGGAAGAGCAGAAUGAAGUCUUGAAGGGAGAUUUGUCCCAAAUUGAGCUUGCGAAGCUGCAAUGAAAAAACAGAUCUCUCGGAGCCAGUCGAACUCAACAACUGGAGGGUUUAGAAGCGGCCUCUCCUCCCGCAAGUUCGCAACAAGAUAGCCUGUCUUUGCAGAAUAUUCUCCGGACUUGGAGUUAGAAGAAGGACAUAUAAGGUCUGCCACUGUUAGUUCCUGAGAGAACUGAGUUGCUGGUCCCAUUGGGGUGACUGGUUUAGAAAGGGAGAUCCAUGGUUCUUGCCAAAUCUUAGAGUCUUUGCCAGUGCCAAUAGCUCUGCCAAGCUGAGUCUUAAGCAGAUCUCUUCCAAGACAUAUUCCACGCCACCCAUGCGAUGCAUUAUUGGAAACUUUGCAGUCUAGGAAGGAUGAUGAUUGGCAGUAUUUACCAAGGAGAACCUUUGCCAACAUAGAUGAAGGUUUAGUGAGUAGUCUCCAGCUCACUUUGGCUAGUAAAGCAUCAUUGAAACUAGAGUCCCACCAGAAACGUGUUAGAGCUGAUUGGAUGCGUUUGCAGAGAGAACCCGGGAGCUUGAAACAUGACAUUGUAUAGGUGGGCAUUGCCACUAGGACUGCUUUUAACAUGGUUGCUUUUCCUGCAGUGGAGAGAAACCUAGAAGACCAGCUCUUAGCUCUCUGUCUUAUGCGGUCGAUGAUGAAAUUAAACAUAUCCUUCUUCUUUCUGCCAAACAGCUCAGGAUUAGCAUAAGGUUCUGACAGCUUUGGACAUCGAAUUUACAGAAGAACAUAGUGUCAUCUGCAAAGAGUAGAUGUUUUAAUCGGGGACUGCCUUUUGCCACUCUUACACCAAAAACUAUAUGAAUCCUAUACGUUGGAGCUGCUCUAAGAUCACUCCAAGAAACACGGAAAUAAAAAACAGAGGAUUGCGGUAGUUAAGGUUUAGCUGGAGGAAAAAGAAGAUAUGUGAGAAGUUACGUUUUUACCCAUGUCAUUUAAAUUAAAAACUGAACAUGUGGCUUAAGAGAAUCAUUAUUGGUAUUAUCUUAGACUAGUUCUUAUGUUAAUUAGAUAUGAAAUAUAAUGUUUUUAUUGAUUAUAUUAUUAAGAAGGAAAAUAUCA